UGUGCAUUCAGAGCAUCAACCAAUCCUUUCAUACAUGGCUCCUCCUAGUAUUUCAAAAUUCUCCCUUUCAAGAUCUUUCUUCUGCCAAAGAUGAAAAAUCUACCUUGUUCCGUUUCAAAUUCCUCAUCCUUUUCUUAUCCACUCCAUUCUUCCUCUUCUUCUUCAAUAAUCUUCUUUUGUUUUCUUUUCCCAGUAGACCUAGGUCUUUUAGCAAAUGAGGAUUCAGCAGAUAUGGGUAUAGAGGAAGUCUUUCUAGUCGAAGUCUUGGAACCAUUUGGUUUAGGUGAUGGUACCUUUUCAGUUGUUUCUCUUUCUUGAUGGACCAGGUCAAUCUUCUUUUCUUCUUCCCCUUCUACCUCGAUACUCUCCACAACUUUCGCCUUCCCUUUUUCUCUUUUUUUCCUCUUGCUUUCUUCCAGUGCUUAUGCAAUUGUUCUUCACUUUGUUUGACCCUGCUUCUAGUUGCUCUUGAGGGGACAGUAGACUUAGGGGUUGAUGUAUUAGUUUUCUUUCUUGGCUUGGAAGCAGUUGGAGCUUUUAAGGAAUAAGCCUUACGAUUCUUUGGAUCAUAACUGGCUCCAAUUUUCUUUAGAAUAUCAUGUAGGGUUUCCUCACUAGAUGAACUACUUCUAACUUGUUGUUUACCUAGAUGAACAAGACCUUCUGCAGUAUCCCCAGAGCUAUUUCCCCC
This 691-nucleotide long non-coding RNA is filed under the name Nicotiana benthamiana. Its description in RNAcentral is "long non-coding RNA (NBEN_LNC030634)". The record is from RNAcentral. Lineage: Eukaryota; Viridiplantae; Streptophyta; Magnoliopsida; Solanales; Solanaceae.